GACGAACGCUGGCGGCGUGCUUUACACAUGCAAGUCGAGCGGUAAGGCCCCUUCGGGGGUACACGAGCGGCGAACGGGUGAGUAACACUUGAGCAACCUGCCCCUGACUCCGGGAUAAGCGGUGGAAACCCCGUCUAAUGCCGGAUACGACCCUCCGCCUCAUGGCGGCGGGUGGAAAGUUUUUUCGGUCGGGGAUGGGCUCUCGGCAUAUCAGCUUGUUGGUGGGGUAACGGCCUACCAAGACGAUUACGGGUAGCCGGCCUGAGAGGGCGACCGGCCACAAUGGGACUGAGACACGCCCCAGACUCGUGCGGGAGGCAGCAGUGGGGAAUCUUGCGCAAUGGGCGGAAGCCUGACGCAGGGACGCCGCGUGGGGGAUGACGGCCUUCGGGUUGUAAACCUCUUUUACCACUCACGCAGGCCCCGGGUUUUCUCGGGGUUGACGGUAGGUGGGGAAUAAGGACCGGCUAACUACGUGCCAGCAGCCGCGGUAAUACGUAGGGUCCGAGCGUUGUCCGGAAUUAUUGGGCGUAAAGAGCUCGUAGGCGGCGUGUCGCGUCUGCUGUGAAAGGCCGGGGCUUAACUCCGGUUUUGCAGUGGAUACGGGCAUGCUAGAGGUAGGUAGGGGAGACUGGAAUUCCUGGUGUAGCGGUGAAAUGCGCAGAUAUCAGGAGGAACACCGGUGGCGAAGGCGGGUCUCUGGGCCUUACC
Molecule: ribosomal RNA, 711 nt
Filed under: Nocardiopsis sp.
Lineage: Bacteria; Bacillati; Actinomycetota; Actinomycetes; Streptosporangiales; Nocardiopsidaceae
Description: bacterial SSU rRNA
Rfam family: Bacterial small subunit ribosomal RNA
Source: RNAcentral